Molecule: non-coding RNA, 72 nt
Organism: Danionella cerebrum
Lineage: Eukaryota; Metazoa; Chordata; Actinopteri; Cypriniformes; Danionidae
Source: the annotation of a GenBank genome assembly
UAUGGGGGCCUAGUGGAUAAGAUGAUUGACUGUGGAUCAGAGAGUCGCUGGUUCGAUCCCCUGCUCCUCUAG